Molecule: long non-coding RNA, 78 nt
Organism: Etheostoma cragini (Arkansas darter)
Lineage: Eukaryota; Metazoa; Chordata; Actinopteri; Perciformes; Percidae
Exons: 2
Source: RefSeq, a predicted model, not a curated record
CAAAACUCAUGUGAGGACUUCGGCAAACUCACCAGGUUUGUCAUCCUACUUGGCUUUGGAAUCCACCACUGCGUAAAA